UGCCGGUGGCCGAGGCGGGCAGCGCCGGCGGAGUGCUCCAGACCGGGCAGCGGAUCGGUUCCGCGAUCGGCAUC
Molecule: transfer RNA, 74 nt
Filed under: Asanoa ferruginea
Lineage: Bacteria; Bacillati; Actinomycetota; Actinomycetes; Micromonosporales; Micromonosporaceae
Description: tRNA-Arg
Source: RNAcentral